UAGGGCCUACGGGGGGCAGCAGUGGGGAAUAUUGCACAAUGGGGGAAACCCUGAUGCAGCAACGCCGCGUGAAGGAAGACGGUUUUCGGAUUGUAAACUUCUGUUCUUAGUGAAGAAAAAUGACGGUAGCUAAGGAGCAAGCCGCGGCUAACUACGUGCCAGCAGCCGCGGUAAUACGUAGGUGGCAAGCGUUGUCCGGAAUUACUGGGUGUAAAGGGAGCGCAGGCGGGAAGCCAAGUCAGCUGUGACAU
RNAcentral lists this ribosomal RNA (251 nucleotides) under uncultured bacterium. RNAcentral's name for it is "partial 16S ribosomal RNA". It matches the Rfam family "Bacterial small subunit ribosomal RNA", at positions 333 to 600 of the family's 1533-position model. The record is from RNAcentral.